This 612-nucleotide long non-coding RNA is filed under the name Hordeum vulgare. RNAcentral describes it as "long non-coding RNA (HVUL_LNC016278)". Lineage: Eukaryota; Viridiplantae; Streptophyta; Magnoliopsida; Poales; Poaceae. The record is from RNAcentral.
UAAAGUUCAGAAAUUAUUUCACCAAUAACUAAUACAACAAUGUGUGCAAUAUUCUACAUAAUCCCCUCAUAAUUUUCCAAGUGAAACCAACAUCAAUGGAAUUUUUAAAUCAACCAUAGAAACUUUUUAGUUGACCAAUAACAUUUAAAUUGGCCUCUUAAAAAUAAACAGUUAUUACAAACCAUUACAAUUGACAUGAAACUUUUUGUGCAGCUUCACAAUGUUACCAUCUAUUUUUGUGCAAAGUGCCACAUUUAACAAACAUAAAUCAGUAGCUCUUUUGAAAAUGAAAACACUAGCUAACUAAAAAAACAGAAAAGAAUAAAAAACAAGAGAUAUGACAUACCUAUGCACCUCGGCUUCUAGUACACAAGAGAGGCCCAGCCCACCAACUCCAUCUUCUACUUCAUCCUGCUCAACGAGCCGGCGUGGAUGACCGCACAACGUCCAUGGCCUGGAUCUGCCGCAUCGCUGUGAGACCCUCUCCUCCUCCCCUCACUUCACGAGCUUGCUCUCCCGCCCGUAGCUAGCUCCCCUCCGUUGUUGUGCCCGCGUCGCCGCCGUUUGCCUCGCUGCCGCAGCCACAGGGAGCCUGACUCGCUCCCAAGCACG